AACCAUCCUGAAACCAGAGGAAAUGGAAACUCAGCUUUUCAGAGCUUACGUAUAUAGAGCGAUUCAAGAAUUACAGGCGCAAACUGCGAGGGCUGCGAUUGAGGUUGUCGAAAGAAAAGGAAAAGUCUUUUUGGACGAAAGCGAGCUCGGUUUGUAGAAACGUGGUAGUUUAUGUGUAUGGUUUGGCACUUGGCCCAUUUUUUUUUUUUUUUUUUUGUUAAAACUUAUCAAAUCCUGUAGUUUUUAACCUGAAAAGUCCGAAAAUGCAAGUUAAAAGUUUGGGGAACCAACGGUUUAAAAGAUAUGGGUACAUGAAGAUGUGUAUCUUUGGCGUACUUUGAUAGGUUCUUUGUCAUGCAAUCGAUGGCCUAAUUCCGUGCACCUACGUCGCACCGUUCCAGGAACCCCAUCAAGCGUGUGGCGGAAAGGUCCCUAGAUUGGACCGCAGCAUUAUAGCACUCAGAUGCCAGUCAAGUGUUCGACCAGUCCCAAUCCUCCUCGAGACUGUUCGAUCGACCAAUUUCGUUCCACCUUCGAUUUGUCCCCAUCACCGAUCCAAUCGCCGACCACAACGAUCCGCCAAAGAAAAGAAAUAUCAAUCCACUUCCAGUGUUGCCACCUUUGCUAAUAGAAGCAACACCAACCUCUGAAAUUAUUUCUUCAACACUAUUGGAUCUAUUGGUGGUUCGCUACGCGUCUUCUGGAAAACGUCGGCCAUUGGAGCAAAAAUGUGCGGAGCUUUUUGCCCUCCAGUCGUCUCUUCCAGCAACAAUGGCGAAGAGGUCGAGCGAUCAAGACCGAGUGGAUCCGAUGUCACGUGGGCACGCGUCCCGAUUUUUAUAAUUCGUGGCUCAUCGUGAAUAGCGCGGCACUUAUAGCGAAUUCGUAGGCGUUAAAUAAUGUUUCCUUAGUCAAUUUACUGUUAGUGCCUGUGUUCGAUAUAACCUGCGUCGGCCAGUACGGAUCGCAUAUUUACGAGCGUGCCGUAAAGCUCGCUUAGACGCGCGCGUUGCGCUAUUCGCUACAAUAAAUUGGAGCAGGCCAACUUGUCUCGUGCUGUAGGUUUUACGGAAUGAUCAUCCUUAUUGGCGGCGAUAACGAUCUUACGUCCAAAUAAUUUACAACGCUCGAGUUGGUGCGUGUGCGUUGAAACGAUACGGAGAAGCAUCUCUUCUCAUUAUGCACGUUCGAAAGUAAAUUAUAUUUUCAUUGUUUUGAAAUUGUGUGGUACCUACGUCUCACAGAGUAGCGUAGUGUGAGUCUAGGAUUAUUUAUAUUAAACGAAUCGUUAGAGCCCUAUUAAGAUUAUAAAAUUGAUUACGUGAUUAACUGUAAACAAUUGUUACUGAUAAAAAGACCAUGUAAUUAUAAGAAUACAA
Molecule: long non-coding RNA, 1379 nt
Organism: Hylaeus volcanicus
Lineage: Eukaryota; Metazoa; Arthropoda; Insecta; Hymenoptera; Colletidae
Exons: 6
Source: RefSeq, a predicted model, not a curated record